RNAcentral lists this non-coding RNA (230 nucleotides) under Chromera velia. The record is from RNAcentral. Lineage: Eukaryota; Chromeraceae.
ACAGAAAGACAGGAAGAACGAAAGAAAGAAAGAAAGAAAGAAAAGAUCGACAGACAUCUCAGGAUCGACAGGCCGGAUCGAUUUGUCGAUUUGGAUGCCCUCGCGGGGGGUUCAUCUCCUCCCCUCCCCUUCCCUUCCCUUCUUUUUUCCCUCCCUCCUUCCGCAUGGAUGCCGCAACGGAAGGGAGGGAGGGAGGGUCUGUAUGACAUGACAUGACAAGUAGAGUGAAU